This 462-nucleotide ribosomal RNA is filed under the name uncultured bacterium. Its description in RNAcentral is "partial 16S ribosomal RNA". It matches the Rfam family "Bacterial small subunit ribosomal RNA", at positions 28 to 507 of the family's 1533-position model. The record is from RNAcentral.
GACGAACGCUGGCGGCGUGCCUAACACAUGCAAGUCGAGCGGAAAGGCCCUUCGGGGUACUCGAGCGGCGAACGGGUGAGUAACACGUGAGUAACCUGCCCCAGACUUUGGGAUAACCCUCGGAAACGGGGGCUAAUACCGGAUACGACACAGCUUCGCAUGGGGUCUGUGUGGAAAGUUUUUCGGUUUGGGAUGGGCUCGCGGCCUAUCAGCUUGUUGGUGGGGUGAUGGCCUACCAAGGCGACGACGGGUAGCCGGCCUGAGAGGGCGACCGGCCACACUGGGACUGAGACACGGCCCAGACUCCUACGGGAGGCAGCAGUGGGGAAUAUUGCACAAUGGGCGGAAGCCUGAUGCAGCGACGCCGCGUGAGGGAUGACGGCCUUCGGGUUGUAAACCUCUUUCAGCAGGGACGAAGCGUAAGUGACGGUACCUGCAGAAGAAGCGCCGGCCAACUACGUG